Molecule: non-coding RNA, 1836 nt
Organism: Meleagris gallopavo (turkey)
Lineage: Eukaryota; Metazoa; Chordata; Aves; Galliformes; Phasianidae
Source: RefSeq, a predicted model, not a curated record
CUUCUCUUCCCUUGCCUUUCCUUUUCCUUCCCCCUUCCCCUUCCCUUCUUUUUUUACUGCUGCAUGUUUGCAGAGCUAAAUCUUCUAUAGUUAGACUUACCAAAGGAUAAAGUACAAUUGCCCUGUAGAGGUGGUCUGCUUAAUAUCACAGUCCUCAUUUGUUUGUUUCUAUACUUGCUUUGUACACCGUCUUCCUACAAAGAUUGUGAGGAAGGAUGCCAAGAGGGUUGUGGUAGCAAAGGGAGCUCAUGUGUUUGCAAUCAGGGAAGCAGACAGUUUUCUUUCUUGGGUGGAUGGGUAACAGAAGGUAGACAUAGCAUUAGAAAAACAGUACUGCACUACCCAGAAGCUACUGAGCUUAACUUUGAAGGCUCAUGUACUUAUUUCUGUGGUAUUCAUUUCUCUGUCUGUCGUUGUCUUGUUUUCUUUUCAGUCCUGCUCUAAGUGAAUGAGAAGAAGCAAGCAUCAAGUGAAAACUAGCAACCUUGUUUUAGAGGUGUUAGUUCUUACCAAAAGACAGUUUUCUGAGUUUUCAAACAAGAUUUGCCAAUUUAGAUAUUCAAGUAGCUGUAUCUGGGCACAUAGCAUACAUAUGACUUGUAACUCUUAAAGUAAUCACUCCAGGGACUAUUGUGUCUUGUGAGUGGGCAGAAUUAUUUUGGAACCAUUGCCCAAAGAAAAGCAAGGGAACUAAUGUGUUCAGUAGCAAGUACCUUGGGUGGUAUGGAGAGCUGGUGGCUCUUGCAAGUUUUUGCUUUUACUGUGGCAGUGGUAUCAUGCUUGCUUCAGUAACUGGGGCUACUUAGCUAGUAGUUAGAAGAUAGCUGUUGUUUAUCACUGCUAACUGAGUCUGAAACCUAUGUGAUGAAAACAUAUAGGUAUGUGCGCUGUAAAGCUUUAGACUGGCUGGCUUGAAUGAGAAUAUCUAGGAAGCAAGAGUUUUGGAGGAGCUGUUGUUCAGUGUUAGCAGUUGUCUCUUCAUGUCGCUCACCAGUUAGACUAGAAGAAGGGACAGAGAAAUGACUAGGGAGAGAUGGAGAAUUGUAUGUGUUUAUUACAGUGUCCAUUAUGUUCACUUUUACUUUGGCGUAGUCUGCCAUUUUCAUCUUGCCAUCACUCGUUUUUUGUUUUUUGUUCUUUCUUUUGUUUGUUUGUGCCUCUUGAACAUUGUCGUGCAAACUCUGCUCUGCCACCUCGUCAGCUGCGGUACAUCUGAGAGCUUGAUGUCACCAGUUAAGCAGGCUCCGCAGAAGUCGCCCUCCGACACAGAGGGUCUGGUAAACAGCGUACCCGCCAGAUCACACCAGGGCCCAGUCAUUUACGCGCAGCUAGAUCACUCCGGAGGACAGCACAGCAACAAGAUUAACAAGUCAGAGUCUGUGGUCUAUGCUGAUAUUCGGAAGAACUGAGAUGUGAUCCUAAUCUGUCUAUAGCAAAACACUCAUUCAGACUGGAAUUGCUUAAACAAAAUUUGACCCAGAGAACUCACAUGUGGCCUUUGAUGCCUAGGCUAGGACCAAUGCAUGUGCAUACAGAGGGAAAGAUAUAUAUGUAUUGUGUGUAAAUAGUCUAUUUAAUCGUAGAGAAGUGAGACCAAUGUUGCAUGUUGAAAUGCGCUAAGAAUUCUGCUUAUAAAUUGCCAAUAUUCUUUUUGUAUCUUGUAUGAUGAGAGAGAAAGUGCAAACUCACAUCACAAUUUAAGAAUAUUUUUAUUGUAUCAAUGGAGAAACUGGAAGAUGCCUGAGGAUUCUAGAUUGACCUAGAGACUUUUUUUUUGUUUAUAGGCCUUAAUUUCUUUCGUUGUUGUUGAGGUGAAUACAAAAAAGGUAACUUUCA